Carassius auratus (goldfish) is the source of this 1778-nucleotide long non-coding RNA. RefSeq lists it as uncharacterized. The transcript has 3 exons. The record is from RefSeq and is a predicted model, not a curated record. NCBI's taxonomy places the organism in Eukaryota, Metazoa, Chordata, Actinopteri, Cypriniformes, Cyprinidae.
CAGGCUUGUAAAAGUGUCAUUACUAGAGGGACCCUGGGAAAGAGAGGUGAGAUAGAUUCCUGUCGGUUUGUGGAAUAUUUCCCGUGCACUAAGCCCUCAUGUUAAGAGUGUGGUAUUAUUGAUAAGACCAUCUUCUCCGGACCGUCCCACUGCCAGGGGACUCGGAGAAGAGCAAUCCACAAAAGAGCUCUUUCAUGUCCGUCUGUGCAACAGAACAAAGCGAGGAUUAAUGCACUGUCUUUCAUCCAGGGGUGGAGGUGUCAGGAGGUAGGCAUCCGGAAAAAAGGUAGCAGUGCCAGAGAGAGUGUCUGGGAUGAAGUGGCAUAACGGAGAAGAUCUCAUGAGACCUGGGCCCCUGGCGCCAUUGACUCGUAAUGGGGAUAUAAUGGAUGGCAGGGUACCAUGACGACAUCAUAUCCCAUCCUUGGACAGGUGUUUCAGUUUGCGAAUGAGAGGAAAUGGGAUCUUUACACCCAAUUUGAAGUGAACCAUGGCUCUCCAGGACAUGACAAGAACAAAAUCCAUCAGGUGGCCCGUGGAAUUUGCCCUAAUUGGUUUUUACAGUCAUACCUUGUUUAAUAUAAUUGGACUGUCAUAUAAGGGUUGUCCUGGCUGUUAUGCUGGGCUAUUUUUAUCCUGUUUAUUGUAAGUCAAUUCAGUUCCUGGAAGAUCCCUUUAAUGCCCCGACUUGCAUGUCCAAUAUUAUUAGGUGCUAUGAGUUCAGCUUGUGCAAAUCGCUUAAUGCAUAAGUCGGUAAGAGGCUCUGUGCUGGCAGGUCAGACUGAAGGUACAGCAGAUUAAUAUUUGAUCAUGCAGGAGGGUUUGUAAUCACAGCUGAUUGAUCCUUCAGCUGAGUGCCCUGGCAAUUAUCAUAAUUGUUGCCCACCCUACCGGCUUCUCUCUCUCUCUCUCUCUCUCUCGCUCGCAUGUCUCCCUCACUCUCCUCGUAGCGUGGGCCGCAGGUUGAGAGUCUGUGAGACAGGAAUUCCUGCACAGUGUGUCUUUGAGUGUAUAAUGCAGGAGAAUUGUGGGAGAGAGGUUGGAUGAGGAUCAUCAGAGGCGAGGUUUCCCUCUCUUGGGCGACAUUGUGUGUGUGUGUGUGUGUGUGUGUGUGUGUGUGUGUCUGCAGGGGCAGUGGGACGUGGUUUGCUUGUGUUAGUGUUUCCGAGGACACACACACACUGUAUUCUGGCAGUGUUUAAAGUGAAUCCCCACUCAGCCACGCUCCACGCUCACGCUGCGAGACGGCGUGUAACACACAAACGGAGGAAAAAGACAGAACGCUGUCUCUAUUUACACAGGACUCUUUUACCAAGAACUUUGGAUCAAUCUUUCUCUCUGGUUGAUUUGUUUUCCGAGUGAUUUUACUAACUGAUGCUGAAUUGCCUUAUGGUCCAUAACCUGUAAUAAUAAAGCUUGUAUAUUAUUUCAGAAAUGAGUGCUGAAAGAGUCCAGCCUUUAUUGUGUUUGUGUUCAUCACAUCAAGCUGUGCUUGUAUGCUGUCUUUAUUUAACCAAAUAUCUUCAUUCAUUUGUGUAAUUUCUGGAUUUUUACGCAAUGGUGUGAAUUCGAUUUCUUUCUUUUAAAAGCCUAUUUUUUUUAAGUGGAAAAAUACCAAACUGGUUUCUAGCCUGUCUGCCUUUGAAGCUGAGGGGUAUAAGUGCCACUGAAUGUGUGAGGCAGCCAGUGCUGUGCCACACUGUGUGGGGGUACUUCCUGUGCCAUGUUUUGUGGAGGUACGUUUUUUUUUUUUUUUUUUUUUUUUUUUUUUUAAAGUG